This 422-nucleotide ribosomal RNA is filed under the name uncultured archaeon. RNAcentral describes it as "partial 16S ribosomal RNA". It matches the Rfam family "Archaeal small subunit ribosomal RNA", at positions 323 to 746 of the family's 1478-position model. The record is from RNAcentral.
CUACGGGGCGCAGCAGGCGAGAAAACUUUGCAAUGUGCGAAAGCACGACAAGGUUAAUCCGAGUGGUCUCUGCUAAAGGGACCUUUUGACAGUCCUAGAAACACUGUUGAAUAAGGGGUGGGCAAGUUCUGGUGUCAGCCGCCGCGGUAAAACCAGCACCUCAAGUGGUCAGGAUGAUUAUUGGGCCUAAAGCAUCCGUAGCCCGCUUUGCCAGUUUUCGGUUAAAUCCAUAUGCUCAACAUAUGGGCUGCCGGGAAUACUACAAAGCUAGGGAGUGGGAGAGGUAGACGGUACUCGGUAGGAAGGGGUAAAAUCCUUUGAUCUAUUGAUGACCACCUGUGGCGAAGGCGGUCUACCAGAACACGUCCGACGGUGAGGGAUGAAAGCUGGGGGAGCAAACCGGAUUAGAUACCCCCGUAGUC